Molecule: ribosomal RNA, 433 nt
Filed under: uncultured bacterium
Lineage: Bacteria
Description: bacterial SSU rRNA
Rfam family: Bacterial small subunit ribosomal RNA
Source: RNAcentral
AUGAACGCUGGCGGCGUGCCUUAAGCAUGCAAGUCAAGGGGCUAUAGCAAUAUAGUACCGGCGGACGGGUGAGUAACGCGUGGGAAUCUUCCUUAAAGAGGGGCAUAGCCAGCCGAAAGGUUGGGUAAUUCCCCAUGUGCUAGUAAUAGUAAAGGCGCAAGCCGCUUUAAGAUGAGCCCGCGUCCUAUCAGCUUGUUGGUGGGGUAAAAGCCUACCAAGGCGACGACGGGUAGCUGAUCUGAGAGGAUGGUCAGCCACAAUGGGACUGCGACACGGCCCAUACAUCUACGGAUGGCAGCAACUGGGAGUCAUGGACAAUGGACGAAAGUCUGAUCCUGCGACGCCGCGUGGAGGAUUGACGGCCUUCGGGUUGUAAACUCCUUUUGCUAGGGAAGAUUAUGACGGUACCUAGCGAAUAAGCACCUGCUAAUCA